Molecule: ribosomal RNA, 406 nt
Filed under: uncultured bacterium
Lineage: Bacteria
Description: partial 16S ribosomal RNA
Rfam family: Bacterial small subunit ribosomal RNA
Source: RNAcentral
AUUGAACGCUGGCGGCAGGCCUAACACAUGCAAGUCGAGCGAGUGGCGGACGGGUGAGUAAUGUAUGGGAAUCUGCCUGAUGGAGGGGGAUAACUACUGGAAACGGUAGCUAAUACCGCAUACCAUCGGAUGUGCCCAGAUGGGCUUAGCUAGUAGGUGGGGUAAAGGCUCACCUAGGCGACGAUCCCUAGCUGGUCUGAGAGGAUGACCAGCCACACUGGAACUGAGACACGGCCCAUACUCCUACGGGAGGCAGCAGUGGGGAAUAUUGCACAAUGGGCGCAAGCCUGAUGCAGCCAUGCCGCGUGUAUGAAGAAGGCCUUCGGGUUGUAAAGUACUUUCAGCGGGGAGGCGUUACCCGCAGAAGAAGCACCGGCUAACUCCGUGCCAGCAGCCGCGGUAAUUC